GAAUAUAUUUUGUGUUCAGGUCCCUGGUAAGCAGGGAUAAAGGGAACCGGGUUAGAAUCCCAGACGGUCCGGCCACUGUAUUUGGCGCGGCCGCUCCAGAGCCACUGGGCAGUAUGCCUGGGAAGGCGGGGCGGGCGGGGAGCCAUAAGUCAGGAAACCUGCCUGUUCACGUAGCGGUGU
Molecule: non-coding RNA, 180 nt
Filed under: Peptococcaceae bacterium
Lineage: Bacteria; Bacillati; Bacillota; Clostridia; Eubacteriales; Peptococcaceae
Source: RNAcentral